AGAGCGAACGCUGGCGGCAGGCCUAAUACAUGCAAGUCGAACGGAUCCUUCGGGAUUAGUGGCGGACGGGUGAGUAACACGUGGGAACGUGCCCUUUGGUUCGGAACAACUCAGGGAAACUUGAGCUAAUACCGAAUGUGCCCCCAUCCUUAAACAAGAUGGGUGGGAAAGAUUUAUCGCCAUUGGAGCGGCCCGCGUCUGAUUAGCUAGUUGGUGAGGUAAAGGCCCACCAAGGCUACGAUCAGUAGCUGGUCUGAGAGGAUGAUCAGCCACACUGGGACUGAGACACGGCCCAGACUCCUACGGGAGGCAGCAGUAGGGAAUCUUGCGCAAUGGGCGAAAGCCUGACGCAGCCAUGCCGCGUGAAUGAUGAAGGUCUUAGGAUUGUAAAAUUCUUUCAGCGGGACGAUAAUGACGGUACCCGCAGAAGACGCCCGGCUAACUUCGCGCCAGCAGCCGC
Molecule: ribosomal RNA, 460 nt
Filed under: uncultured bacterium
Lineage: Bacteria
Description: SSU rRNA
Rfam family: Bacterial small subunit ribosomal RNA
Source: RNAcentral